CACUUGUGCGGUCGGGGUCUCAACAGCAGCGCACAAGGGGGAUUGCCUACUGUGGGGAAAGAUGUUGAAACAGGCAUAAGGGUGGCGAAGCUAGCGCCCGAACAUCGAACGGCUGGCGGGU
This 121-nucleotide non-coding RNA is filed under the name unclassified sequences. Its description in RNAcentral is "Betaproteobacteria-1 RNA". It matches the Rfam family "Betaproteobacteria-1 RNA". The record is from Rfam by way of RNAcentral.